UACGUAGGGUGCGAGCGUUAAUCGGAAUUACUGGGCGUAAAGCGUGCGCAGGCGGUUCUCCAAGUCCGUUGUGAAAGCCCCGGGCUCAACCUGGGAAUGGCAGUGGAAACUAGGGGACUUGAAUCUGGCAGAGGGGGGUGGAAUUCCACGUGUAGCAGUGAAAUGCGUAGAUAUCGUAAGGAAGACCAGUGGCGAAGGCGGGUCUCUGGACAGUUCCUGACGCUGAGGCACGAAGGUCAGGGGAGCAAACGGG
Molecule: ribosomal RNA, 253 nt
Filed under: uncultured bacterium
Lineage: Bacteria
Description: partial 16S ribosomal RNA
Rfam family: Bacterial small subunit ribosomal RNA
Source: RNAcentral